Molecule: ribosomal RNA, 253 nt
Filed under: uncultured bacterium
Lineage: Bacteria
Description: partial 16S ribosomal RNA
Rfam family: Bacterial small subunit ribosomal RNA
Source: RNAcentral
GACAGAGGGUGCAAGCGUUGUUCGGAUUUACUGGGCGUAAAGCGCGUGUAGGCGGCUUGGCACGUCGGAUGUGAAAGCCCACGGCUCAACCGUGGAAGCGCAUCCGAAACUGCUUCGCUCGAGUCUCGGAGAGGAAGGUGGAAUGCUUGGUGUAGAGGUGAAAUUCGUAGAUAUCAAGCAGAACACCUGCGGCGAAGGCGGCCUUCUGGACGAUGACUGACGCUGAGACGCGAAAGCGUGGGGAGCAAACAGG